UGCGUAGGCGGUUUAAUAAGUCAGAAGUGAAAAGUCCGAGCUCAACUGGGGCCUUGCUUUUGAUACUGUUAGACUCGAAUCAGGCUGAGGUUAGCGGAAUGUGACAUGUAGCGGUGAAAUGCAUAGAUAUGUCAUAGAACACCAAUUGCGAAGGCAGCUAACUAGACCUCGAUUGACGCUGAGGCACGAAAGCGUGGGGAGCGAACAGGAUUAGAUACCCUGGUAGUCC
Molecule: ribosomal RNA, 229 nt
Filed under: uncultured bacterium
Lineage: Bacteria
Description: partial 16S ribosomal RNA
Rfam family: Bacterial small subunit ribosomal RNA
Source: RNAcentral